UACGUAGGGUGCAAGCAUUAUCCGGAGUGACUGGGCGUAAAGAGUUGCGUAGGUGGUUUGUUAAGUGAAUGGUGAAAUCUGGCGGCUCAACCGUACAGACUAUUAUUCAAACUGGCAAGCUCGAGAAUGGUAGAGGUAACUGGAAUUUCUAGUGUAGGAGUGAAAUCCGUAGAUAUUAGAAGGAACACCAAUGGCGUAGGCAGGCUACUGGACCAUUUCUGACACUGAGGCACGAAAGCGUGGGGAGCGAACCGG
Molecule: ribosomal RNA, 255 nt
Filed under: uncultured bacterium
Lineage: Bacteria
Description: partial 16S ribosomal RNA
Rfam family: Bacterial small subunit ribosomal RNA
Source: RNAcentral